UGGGGAAUAUUGGACAAUGGGCGAAAGCCUGAUCCAGCAAUGCCGCGUGGGUGAAGAAGGUCUUCGGAUCGUAAAGCCCUUUCGACGGGGACGAUGAUGACGGUACCCGUAGAAGAAGCCCCGGCUAACUUCGUGCCAGCAGCCGCGGUAAUACGAAGGGGGCUAGCGUUGCUCGGAAUUACUGGGCGUAAAGGGCGCGUAGGCGGCGGCCCAAGUCAGGCGUGAAAUUCCUGGGCUCAACCUGGGGACUGCGCUUGAUACUGGGUUGCUUGAGGAUGGAAGAGGCUCGUGGAAUUCCCAGUGUAGAGGUGAAAUUCGUAGAUAUUGGGAAGAACACCGGUGGCGAAGGCGGCGAGCUGGUCCGUUACUGACGCUGAGGCGCGACAGCGUGGGGAGCAAACAGGAUUAGAUACCCUGGUAGUCCACGCCGUAAACGAUGUGCGCUGGAUGUUGGGGCCCAUAGGGUCUCAGUGUCGUAGCCAACGCGGUAAGCGCACCGCCUGGGGAGUACGGCCGCAAGGUUG
Molecule: ribosomal RNA, 524 nt
Filed under: uncultured bacterium
Lineage: Bacteria
Description: bacterial SSU rRNA
Rfam family: Bacterial small subunit ribosomal RNA
Source: RNAcentral